UAAUUUGUUUGGGGCAAAUUCUCUUUUAGUUAUGAUAGACUCACACUUGAUUGAUCGUAAUCACCCAUUAUUGUGUCAACAAUAAUUUUUUAAGAUUUUAAUUGGAGU
This is a non-coding RNA of Populus trichocarpa (black cottonwood), 108 nucleotides long. NCBI's taxonomy places the organism in Eukaryota, Viridiplantae, Streptophyta, Magnoliopsida, Malpighiales, Salicaceae. The record is from Rfam.